UUCCUUGAUUCCUAUUUAACCAGCAUAUCCUUGAGAGUCAUUUUUCCUUAGUCGGGUAAGACUUGCGAAAGUACACUCCGUACUCAGGGUUUUCGAACCCAUGUUGUUGUAGGUAAUGAGGAGUACUCUAUGUGUUCGUGAGGCUGGAGAGCGUUUCCAGUUCUAGAGGAGGACUAGCUAGGUUUAUGUAUAAGCUUUGGAGGGUUUCUACCUUCCUGCUUUUGUAAUAAGUUAUGCACUUUGAGUAUAUCAGGACUUGUAAUAAAUAUUACUCUUUCGAAACAUGUAAAACUUGAGUUUUGAAAAGGUAAAGAAUGUUUGUAAAGUCUUCCGCUCUUUAUCUCCGAAGUGUGUGUAUCGAAUGUGAUUACUGUAAUAUGCAUGUAUGGUGGGAGAUCCUUGGGAUGAUGAGUUCAAGUGGUUGAACUCGUGAUAGCCUUGUUAAGUUACCUGGUACACGUGCAUAGCCAUCUGAGGCCAUCAAGGCAAGGAUUGGUGCAUGUGGGCCUGAUAACUUGGGAGGGCUGUCACAGAUUGGUAUCGGAGCGAUCCCCCAUUAGCAUGGAUAUUAAAGUAAUCCUUUGAUAGACUUUAAAAGGAUUUUGAGUCCAAACUAUUUUGGAAAAACUUAAGAAUCUAUGAUCGAAUCCUGAUAGUCGAAGUGAAAAUAGUAUAUGAUUAAGUUAAGGACUAUAAGGUGGCUUAGUUUAGGAUGCUAACCACUAACCCACAACUAUAAUGCAGUUUUUUUGCAGGUACACUAACUAAACAAUAGGAAAGUGCGACUAGUAUUCAAUGACGGAGUGAGUAGGUAUGCCACCGCCAUAAAACGUGAUAGCCACUAUAUGUUGGCAAGAGUUGCAAGGACGAAUAGGACGAGCAUGCAUCAUGUCAUACAACUUUAAGUUAAACCCCCUGUGUAGCUAUUUUAGUAUGUGUUUCAUAUACCCUGUUCAUACAUCUUUAGUGAAUAGAGUGUAUCUAUUGCUCUUCUCUAUAGAUGAAUCAACAAGAAGCGCCUACAGGAGUUGGAGAGUUUCUACGAGAUUUCGGUGUUCCUAUGGUCCUGUGGCGACUACUUCAAGAAGUUGGAUAUACCGAAGCACCCAAGUACCAAUGGUCACGCACUAUUCUUAGAGGACAACCAUGGUAUGAGGUAUUAGUGCGUAUUCCAGAACGUGCUAGAAAACCAUCUUGGCCACAAUGGAUGUUCCAUGCUGAAGGAAUGACUCCUUGGGAAGGUGCUCAGGUAGCUGCCUUAGAGGUGUUGACAACAAUAUGUUACCAAAAGUGGGAACAAAUACAGGCCACGUCUAUGAGAUUGUUCCCUGCAGUUGCCUUAAGUGACCCAGUUGUGUAUCAUCACGAGGCCCGAUUAAUGGAAAGCAUUCCCAUUGGGCAGGAUUCUGUUGAAUCGGCAUCUGCUCGAGUUUUGAUGGUUGUGCUAGAGUUGCAGCUUACUCGAGGGCACAGUCGUCAAAUGUGGCAGCAGUUAUACACUGGAAGUUAUGCAACAUUUAAGAUGAUGGAAAUGGCCAAGAAUAGGGCUUAUACUCAGGCACAAGAACGGCUUGAAGAAACAAAGAUUCAAGCUGAGCGAAUUGUUGGACUAGAGCAUCAGGUGACAGAACUUCAGACGCAACACCAAGCUGAUCAGAAUCGCAUUAAGGAGCUUGAGCAUCAGCUAACUAAUGCUCAUUCUAAAUCAAAAGUUUUGAGUCAGCAACAAGAAGAAACUCACUCGUAUGCUGUUACUGUUAGGGAAGAACUUAAGGAAACCAUGGGCUUCCUAGGUCAGCAGGAUCAGGUACUUGAGGAGUUGCAUCGUACCUAUCCGAUGGAAUUUCAAACAGCGCAGCGACUGAUCAACCAUCUGCAACAAACGGUGCAUAUGCUCAAUGUUGCCUUUUAUUCUGCCCCAACACCAAUGGACUAAAAGGUACCUAUGGGGCAUGGAAACAGACAUCUAGCAGAUGUGAUAACCGGAGAAGACAUAGCAGGCAACUUAAUCCUCGUUAGGCAAUAUACCUAUGUAAAUUAGUUUUGAAAGGUAGAUGUAAGGUAGACCCGUAUGGCAAUGUUAGCUAGUAAAAACAGGUUAAACUUUGUUGUAAAGAGUUUUUCCUGUUUCACCUGGAUCAAGUAACCUGUGAGUUUGCCUAUGGCUAUGGUGUAAGAAAGAACUGCCUGUUUCAGAGGCAACUGUUAAUAUCUAUAGCCGUUUGUCGAAUUCCAAGAGUUAGAAUGGCUAUUCCUUUGGAUAUUCCCUGUGAAUGCACGUGUAUGGAUAAAUGACUUGGCACACGCUGGUACCAUAGUUUCUGGUUGUGUUUCGUGAUGAGAUGAUACCAUCGUGAUUUCCCAUGUGAGUCUGUUGAACAAGAAAUGGAAAAAUGGAUAAACGUUAUCCAAAACAAAUUAGAUGCAACAUCUUGAGUAAAACACGCAGAAAGUGAUUUAUCGCCGAGUCAUCAUUGGAAGUUCGUAGCACCGGAGACGAGUGCAAAUGUCGAGCGACAUCGUGGUUAACUCGUGGUUAAGCGAAACAGAACACCUCCCCUGCCUUGUAAGAGAAAUUAGGAAAUAAGUCAGUGACGUGUUUCCUUUUCCAUUACUAAGUCUAGAUUUUUAAAUCUCGGGACGAGAUUUCUUUUUAGGGGGGAAGGCUGUAACACCCCUAGUGUUACGUGAACUAAAACUCUGACAUGUCAUCAUAAGCAUUUGCAUUAACUUGCUUUUUACACCUAGAAUGCAUUCACUAGAUCAAAAUUUUACAAUAAGGUGAUGUGGUGUGUUGAGUAUAGGACUUAGGUUGAAAAACUUGCUUGGAAUUAUGGAUAAAAAAAAAUAAUUCCUAAACCGAGGACUUGUUGGGAAUGAGCUGCAUAUACUAAAGUUGGAUCUUAGACUAGAGAGUAACUUUGUUUUUGAUGGAUGGAUCAAAGGGAUGAAUCCCUGGAAGAAGCUGAAAAACAGAUGAAACUCAUUUGAAACCCGAAACUAACCCCAAAUGUGGAAUAUAAAAUCUAGAAGAAUUUAGCUAAAAGUCCAUAUACCAAGGUUGUAGAACUUGGAAAAGUGAACAAAUUUCAUAUCUGGAGAAUUCCAAGUUGUGUGGAGAAAUUUGGAGUAAUUUGCAACAUUUCAGCUUGGGUUCAGUUUGAAUUGGGCUGAAAACAGUUUCAUAUAGCUGUUUUUGGACCCUUAUAACUUUUGAUCUAUGGACUUUUGGUAAGGAGUUGCUAUAACAAAUUGUAGAGUAAUUGUUGGAGCACAAUCCCUUUUAAGUGUACUAGCCCUGAAACUACAUGAUACCAGGAGCAAAGGUGGUCCAAAGAUGGGAUGCUAGGUAUUGUGUUUUCAGACUUAGCUGAAUCAUUGCAGCUGAGUUUUAGUGAGAUUUGUGCAGUUUUGGAGCUCUCUAUUGCUCUAUCCAUAGGGUUAUAGGUUAUGAUCAUUAAAACAAAAUUAUAAAGCUACAUGAGGAGUAUAAUUUUGAUUAAGUCUCCUAGCCCUAAAGAUAUUCGAAACUUGGAGUAAAACUGGUCCAAAAUAGAGCUGUCAGAGAUUGUCAAAUUCAGACUUUUGGAGUAAAUUCAGAUUCAGAAUUUCUGUGUUUGAUGCCAACUUUGGGCUGUGAUAGAUUGUAAUCCAAAAGGGUUUAGCUAACAGUCACUAUGUAAAACCUGUAGAGGAACUAUUGGAGUAUAAAUUUUAAUAAGCAACUUGCCCCUAAAACCAUAUGCUACUAGGAGUAAAGGUGGUUCAAAGUGGUGUGGGCUGAAUUCUGAAUUUUCAGAUUUAGAAUAGUGCCUAAGUCUGAAUUUCAGUGAUUGUAACAGACUUUGGAGCUUCCUUGUGCAUAAUCCAUAAGGUUUUGAACUAUGGUUUCUAUAGAGGAGUUGAAGGCCAUAAGUUGGGGUACAAAUGUAUUUAAUGGUGAUGGAUAUGAUCCUACACAAAAAGUGGAGUAAAACUUGCUCAAAGUUGGACUGCCUUGUGACUGAAACUGAAUUUUUCUCAGUUCACUAAAAACUGAAAAUUAGUGUUUGGUGCCAGUUUGAUGUCCUUUUGUGACUAAAUCAUGGGGUGUUGGACUAAGAACUAUAUAGAAAAGUUGGAGCCCAUAAUACAGAGAAUAUGUUUUAUAAAUAGGGGUGGACUUGGUUCUACAUAAAAGUGAGAGUAAAACACCUCUAAACUCUCUGUCAGACAAAUGUGUGCUGAAUUUGGAGUAGCCAGCUGAAACCCAGUUUUAGUACUCUGUUGGUCGACUUGGGUCCUUAUUAACACAGAGUUUGUGGAGCUUUAGUUAGCAAUCAUUAAUGGAAAGAUGGGGAGUGAAGGCAAUUGAAUAGUUCCUAGUAAGGAAGUAUGUUGAGUCAUUGUGUGGAAGUGAGAGAAAAUUUGUAAUGAAAAUCUCAUGUUCAGGUGUAUGGCUGUUAUCUGAAUUCAAUUUCAGGGAUAGAUAGGCAGUGAGCUUCCUCCCCCUUGAUCCAUUUUUAUUGCUUAAAUUGUUUUUUAGGUUGGUCCCUGAGGCAAAGUGUAAGAGUGUGAUUUGGAGAACAAUGGUACCGAAUUAAAGUGAACCUGGGGUUACACGAAUAUGGGAGUAAAGUGCCCUCCAAUGUGUGCUGUCAGUCUGCGCUAUGCCCUAAGAAUCUAAUUCAGUGUUGACAGCCUAACUUCAGAGCUCUGAUGUGCUAAAUCCGUGGAGUCGUUACCCCUAAUCUCUAUAGUAGAGUUGUAGAGCAUACAUUAAUGUGCAACUUUGGUUAAGGAGUCUUGGUUUGUUGCCAUAUGAAAUGAGGGGAUAAAGGGGCAUGAUCAGGUAGUGUUCAGAUGGGCAGUAGGGUGUGAAUUCAGUUUGGGCAAGUCUGAAGUUGAAAAAUAAAAGGGUCUUUUCUCCUCCCUGCUGUCUUCCACUCAUGCUGUCCAAGUUGGAAUAAGGAUGCGUGUGGCUUGAGAUAAAUCAGAGAUGGACUUGGGAAUUUCUAGAGCUGAGUUCAAAGUGUUUCAAACUGUAAAUAUCACAGACUUCAUAGUUAUCCUUAGUGAACCCCCCUUGCCUGCUUGUUUCGGUCAAUGGUGCUGCCCCUUCUACGUGUCUCAGUAUUGUCGUGAUAUUGGUCCUGCGUGGGGCUCAUGCAAAGACCAUACGUGUCCUAGCUCAUGCCUCUGCUGGUGCAGCCAGGGCUCACCGCAGCACGUGGAGCAAGUGUCUUGUAGCCUUUCCUUGUCCUGCUUAUUGUGAUAUCUCUCGGCUUGGAGCCAUUCCUCUAGCGUCAGCAGCCGUGAUACAAACUAGUCGUGUGUGCUUUCAGCUGUGUUUACAUCGCGCGAUUGAUCGUGGUCCUGCUCAGUGCAAAGUAGAGGUAGUUGUUUGUUAUCUUCCCCACCACUGGUGACCACGCCGGCUGAUUCUAAACUCCGCCGUGACCAAGGAUUCAUAAGGUAUUUCGUUUUCGUCUUAGGUGUGUUCCUGGAUCGUUUAGUGCCCGUGGUGCUCACAGAGUCCUCCCUUUGAGCUCUACUGCUGUUAGUGGUCAGGAACAGGGUCUCGCCGCCGCAAAACGUUGUUGCAGACCGCUUCACCGUCGACCCUUUGAACUGCAUCAUCCCCGACCAAUCUCGCGCGCGUACGGUGAACUUCGAAGGUCAGUGAUACUCUCUGCACACCUAAUUUGAACUCUACCGCAUGGAAGCUAUGGGAUCGAGCUUGCCGGACCCGCUGUUCCACCGUCGCCGUCGGUAACUAUGCUCCAGUGUCCCCGCGACCGAAUUAAACACAUAUCUGAGUUCACCUUGGGUCUGAGGUUGUGUCGAUGCCCUCGCCGUCGUUGGUGAUGCGCCACCAUGGUCGAUCUGGCGCAGACCGCCGGAGUUCUGCGCGGCGUCGUCGUGGCUGAAACUUUAUAAAAGAGUGGAAUUCGAGGGGCUUAAGUGAAUCUGUCAUUGAGUAACAUCAAUAGUGACAAGGGCCGAUGUGGAUUAGUUUGAGAGCGAAGGUCAUUUUUGCAAGAUGUGUGGUGCGGGCGCGGUCUGUUUGUUGUGGGCCAACUCUGCCUGUUACUGGGUCGGCUGAGCUAGGUUUCGACCCAGUACUGUACUCAGUUUUGCCAUUUCUUUUAUCAGCAAACUUGUGAAUUGAGCUAAAAAUCAUAGAAAAUUGAUAAAUUAAUUGGACAAAUUUUGUUGGAUAUCUAAUUUCAUGAGCUAUUUGGUAAAGUUGGUUUUAGGAUUUUUGACUAGUUAGAAAAUUCUAAGUGAAUUUAAGGUGCUCUUGGAAGGCCUAUAUUAAUUUUAUAAAUAAGAGGGUAACACAAAAAAAAAUUAGAAAUUUUUGGAGAGACUUGUUAUCCAAAUAUGAACUUUUGGGCAAAGUUUGGAUAUGAUUUGCUUAGCAAAAUAAUUGUUGCCCAAAAAAGAAAAGGAUUGCACCUAUGAAAUGAGGACACCUAGUAGUUAAGUGAAGAGAUGAAGUUGCUUAAGAAGUUUUAAGCUUUUGGAUGAGAUAUAAGUUGGAUUAGUUCCCUGGUUUACCUAAGUGAAUUCUAAUUGGCCACUUUUAUCAAGUGCUAGGUUGUGUAGAAGUAUGGUAUACUUGUCAUGUGCUUAUUCAGGAGUGUUUAUGUUCCCCACCUCUCCUUGUGAGAGUUUGCAUUUCAUAUCAUUACAUAAGCAUACAUGUAUUUGUAAUUGACUUGUAGAACACCUAGAAGAAGUGGUGUUUGAAGGAGUCUACUCCAGUGGCUGCUGAUCAAGUGGAGGAGCCAUCUAACUCUGUAUUGGAUAGAGGGAUCUAGAGCCUCUUCACUGCAACAAAGGCAAGCCCCGGUGCAUUUACCCCUUUCCUUAUAUUUUUAAAAGACUUUUAUACACUUUAAGUCUAGUGAAAUGUGCAUUAAGUUUAUAGGAGUUGCUUGAAAACUAUUUGAUGCAUUGACUACCUUGAUAUCGAUUCCUGUUAUAGAUACUUCUUUGGAAGUAUCAAAUAUUGUUUACAAAAAUGCUUAGCCCUGCUUAGAUCUUGUGGAUAGAAGUUGUCUUUUGCAAUAAUGCCUAGCUCAGGGGUUGUCCUGAGGAAGGAUGGCUUCUACCUGUAAGAAUAUUUUCAUUGGGAGCAUGGUGGGAUCUUACUGCAAAGUUCCCUGUAAUGCUCUUCUCAUCCUAAGGAACACAAAACAAUCCUAAGGAUAGAAGUACUUAAAUCGAGACUUGGGCUAGGAACAGGUGAUGCUCCACCCAGGUCAAUUAAGGAUUGGAUGCGUAUGUAGGCCUGUAUGAUCAAGGACUAUCUUAACUGGCCACAUGCCCUGGAUAUGGGACAGGGUAAGCUUGAACCCGGCUAUUCCAUACGUGAAAAGACAACCGCGCACUGGGCGUGGGAGAUGGUGGGAGUAGUGUGUACCCUCCUGGCUGGAGGCUGGAUGGAGGAGUACUGUGCUCCCGGGUAGCGCGGACCGGUUCACGUUGUGGAGGAUCUGUGGGAACGGUUGACAUAUGCAAGGGUUAAGUGCUACAUAUGUCGUGUGGUUAGAGAUCCUCAGCUGAGCAAAUCGAUUCGGAUCGCCGUUAUAUCCCCGAAGAGUGGAGACUUGAUCGCUGCCCUGCAACCUAAGUCAGGAUGUGAACAUUAUGAAUAAAAAUGAUGUUGUAUUAAUGAGAUGGUGAAAUUAGACUAGAUGCAACCAGAGUCUAUUAAUAUUUAAUCUGGCGUUAAAAUAUUGAAAGUAAGGACUCACUUUAGUAAGCUAUUUCUGCAAAAGUAUAUAAGUUGAUUCUUGCUAAAGCCUUUUCCUUGAUUCCUAUUUAACCAGCAUAUCCUUGAGAGUCAUUUUUCCUUAGUCGGGUAAGACUUGCGAAAGUACACUCCGUACUCAGGGUUUUCGAACCCAUGUUGUUGUAGGUAAUGAGGAGUACUCUAUGUGUUCGUGAGGCUGGAGAGCGUUUCCAGUUCUAGAGGAGGACUAGCUAGGUUUAUGUAUAAGCUUUGGAGGGUUUCUACCUUCCUGCUUUUGUAAUAAGUUAUGCACUUUGAGUAUAUCAGGACUUGUAAUAAAUAUUACUCUUUCGAAACAUGUAAAACUUGAGUUUUGAAAAGGUAAAGAAUGUUUGUAAAG
This 8123-nucleotide long non-coding RNA is filed under the name Zea mays. RNAcentral describes it as "long non-coding RNA (ZMAY_LNC002380)". The record is from RNAcentral. Lineage: Eukaryota; Viridiplantae; Streptophyta; Magnoliopsida; Poales; Poaceae.